This 501-nucleotide ribosomal RNA is filed under the name uncultured bacterium. Its description in RNAcentral is "partial 16S ribosomal RNA". It matches the Rfam family "Bacterial small subunit ribosomal RNA", at positions 899 to 1397 of the family's 1533-position model. The record is from RNAcentral.
ACUCAAAUGAAUAGACGGGGGCCCGCACAAGCGGUGGAGCAUGUGGUUUAAUUCGACGCAACGCGCAGAACCUUACCAGCCCUUGACAUCCCGGUCGCGGUUUCCAGAGAUGGAGACCUUCAGUUCGGCUGGACCGGAGACAGGUGCUGCAUGGCUGUCGUCAGCUCGUGUCGUGAGAUGUUGGGUUAAGUCCCGCAACGAGCGCAACCCCCGUCUUUAGUUGCCAUCAUUCAGUUGGGCACUCUAAAGAGACUGCCGGUGAUAAGCCGCGAGGAAGGUGGGGAUGACGUCAAGUCCUCAUGGCCCUUACGGGCUGGGCUACACACGUGCUACAAUGGCGGUGACAAUGGGACGCGAAGGGGCAACCCCUAGCAAAUCUCAAAAAGCCGUCUCAGUUCGGAUUGGGCUCUGCAACUCGAGCCCAUGAAGUUGGAAUCGCUAGUAAUCGUGGAUCAGCACGCCACGGUGAAUACGUUCCCGGGCCUUGUACACACCGCCCGU